Molecule: ribosomal RNA, 293 nt
Filed under: uncultured bacterium
Lineage: Bacteria
Description: partial 16S ribosomal RNA
Rfam family: Bacterial small subunit ribosomal RNA
Source: RNAcentral
GUGUCAGCAGCCGCGGUAAGACGAACCGUGCGAACGUUAUUCGGAAUCAUUGGGCUUAAAGGGCGCGUAGGCGGCAACGUAAGUUGGAAGUGAAAUCCCAUCGGCUCAACCGUGGAAUCGCUCCCAGUACUGCGUUGCUUGAGCGAGAUAGGGGCCCGCGGAACUGCCGGUGGAGCGGUGAAAUGUGUUGAUAUCGGCGGGAACGCCAGUGCCGAAAGGGGCGGGCUGGACCUUUGCUGACGCUGAAGCGCGAAAGCUAGGGUAGCGAACGGGAUUAGAAACCCUCGUAGUCC